AACGAACGCUGGCGGCAUGCCUAACACAUGCCAGUCGAACGAUACCUUCGGGUCUAGUGGCGCACGGGUGCGUAACGCGUGGGAACCUGCCCUUAGGUUCGGAAUAACUCUCCGAAAGGGGUGCUAAUACCGGUUAAUUUCUUCGGACCAAAGAUUAAUCCGUGUUGGAUGGUCCCGCGUUGGAUUAGCUUGUUGGUAGGGUAAAGGCCUACCAAGGCGACGAUGGGUAGCCGGCCUGAGAGGGUGAUCGGCCACACUGGGACUGAGACACGGCCCAGACUCGUACGGGAGGCAGCAGAGGAGAAUAUUGCACAGUGGGCGGAAGCCUGAUGCAGCGACGCCGCGUGGGGGAAGACGGGAUGCGGGUAGGAAACCUCUUUCAGCUGGGAAGAAGCGAAAGUGACGGUACCGGGAGAAGAAGCACCGGCUAACUACGUG
Molecule: ribosomal RNA, 438 nt
Filed under: uncultured bacterium
Lineage: Bacteria
Description: partial 16S ribosomal RNA
Rfam family: Bacterial small subunit ribosomal RNA
Source: RNAcentral